RNAcentral lists this ribosomal RNA (253 nucleotides) under uncultured bacterium. Its description in RNAcentral is "partial 16S ribosomal RNA". It matches the Rfam family "Bacterial small subunit ribosomal RNA", at positions 524 to 776 of the family's 1533-position model. The record is from RNAcentral.
UACGUAGGGUGCAAGCGUUAAUCGGAAUUACUGGGCGUAAAGCGUGCGCAGACGGUUAUGUAAGACAGUUGUGAAAUCCCCGGGCUCAACCUGGGAACUGCAUCUGUGACUGCAUAGCUAGAGUACGGUAGAGGGGGAUGGAAUUCCGCGUGUAGCAGUGAAAUGCGUAGAUAUGCGGAGGAACACCGAUGGCGAAGGCAAUCCCCUGGACCUGUACUGACGCUCAUGCACGAAAGCGUGGGGAGCAAACAGG